AUUGAACGCUGGCGGCAUGCCUUACACAUGCAAGUCGAACGGUAACAGGUCUUCGGAUACUGACGAGUGGCGAACGGGUGAGUAAUACAUCGGAACGUGCCCGAUCGUGGGGGAUAACGAAGCGAAAGCUUUGCUAAUACCGCAUAAGAUCUAAGGAUGAAAGCAGGGGACCGCAAGGCCUUGCGCGAACGGAGCGGCCGAUGGCAGAUUAGGUAGUUGGUGGGAUAAAAGCUUACCAAGCCGACGAUCUGUAGCUGGUCUGAGAGGACGACCGGCCACACUGGGACUGAGACACGGCCCAGACUCCUACGGGAGGCAGCAGUGGGGAAUUUUGGACAAUGGGCGAAAGCCUGAUCCAGCCAUGCCGCGUGCAGGAUGAAGGCCUUCGGGUUGUAAACUGCUUUUGUACGGAACGAAAAGACUCUUUCUAAUAAAGAGGGUCCAUGACGGUACCGUAAGAAUAAGCACCGGCUAACUACGUGCCAGCCGCCGCCGUAA
RNAcentral lists this ribosomal RNA (498 nucleotides) under uncultured bacterium. RNAcentral's name for it is "partial 16S ribosomal RNA". It matches the Rfam family "Bacterial small subunit ribosomal RNA", at positions 30 to 523 of the family's 1533-position model. The record is from RNAcentral.